Molecule: long non-coding RNA, 2118 nt
Filed under: Manihot esculenta (cassava)
Lineage: Eukaryota; Viridiplantae; Streptophyta; Magnoliopsida; Malpighiales; Euphorbiaceae
Description: long non-coding RNA (MESC_LNC007059)
Source: RNAcentral
AAUAAUUAAUGAUUUGAAAAAGGUAAAUUCUUAGCAUGAGGAUAGACAAAUAUUGUUGAGAGAAUUUUCACUCAAUGCGGAGAGAGAAAGGCAAAGUGAAAGGAUAGAGAAAGGGAAAACUUUGCAUUUUAAGGUUUCACUUUGUUAUUUUCUUCCCCAUUGUUUCUGCUUUUUGGUUUUGGAUGGUGUUUGUUCCUUUUCUUUGUUUUAGGCCAGGGAGAGAAGGGUUUUUUUUUUUUUUGAAGUCACCAUCCUUUCUGGAUCUCACUUGUUGUGGAUGGACGAGUUAAUUAGUUCUUGUUUUAAUUUGUUUGUUGUUUGUUUGUACAGAUCCCCAGCGUUGGCAUCAGCGAGGGAAAUGUUGAUGAAAGGACAUGUUUUUUAAAGUUUCAGAUCUAUUUUCUAGUGGAGAAGAUUGCUCUGUGUAUGAUGUCAUGAUCCGAAACCGCACCAAAUCCUAUUUGGUUCAUAGUCAUCGCGUUGCUUCAAUUUUAUGAAAGACUUUUAGGUGAUCGAACUGCUCUUAAUGGAUUGCGGCCAAUGAUUUAAUUGAACUUUAGGAUGGAUUUGGAAACAAGUAAACAUUUUUUCUCACACUCUUAUUUUGAUAGUCAAUUUAUAUACUAGUGUUAUAUUUUCAUUUGACUCUUCAAACUCACUUUGUAAUGUGAUUAAUUUUAAUAUUUUUCGAGAUUUUUUUUUCACUUAAAUACACCAAGCAUUAGUUAAUAUAAAAUCACUUUUUUCAAAAAUAUUUUUUAUGAAAUAAAUAAAGUCUUAGUCAAAGAUACUUCACACCAAUAUAAGGAAUUUGCAGGGAAAAAAUUAAUGUUAAUAAAGUAAUCCUGGAAUUAAUAACGUAAGUAUAUAUCAGCAAGUUUAAUAUUUUAUUUAAAAUAUAUAACUAUAUUUUAAUAAAAUAAAUUUAUUUUGUUAACGGUAAACAAAUUAAAAACUCUCCAACUAAUAACUCAAAUAACCUGAUCUAGGUAAACUCUUAUAUCAAAAUUUCAACUUUUUAAUGGAAUUUUCGUUAGAAUUUGGAAUCUCAAAAUCGAACAUUGAAUUCGGAAUCUCAAAAUCAAAAACAUUAGAAGGGUAAAAUGAUUUUUUUAAAAAAUAAAUUUUAGGUAUUUUAAAAUAUAUUUUUUAAAAAAAAUAUUUUAGAAAAGUUUUAAAAGGGCUCCGACCCAAAAAGGAGAGAAAUAUUUCUCAAUUUUCGGGCCAAGGUAAGUCCAAGCAGUAUCUUCCUCAAUAGUUUUGAGUUAUUUCUUAUUUUUCUCUUCAAAGAAUUUACGAUUCUUCUCUCGGUUUUAAAGAUCAAGAUUUUGGAUUAAGAGUUUAAAGUAAAAAAUAUUCAAAUAUUUUUCUUGUUUCUAAAAUCCUUGCUACGAUUGUUGUUUUGUCUCAAUGAGAUAAGUAAAUCCUUAUAUCUAUUUGAUCCUGAAAUUUUUAUGAAGAAAAUAUAAGUUGUAUUUAUUUCAAUGGUUAGACAAUGCAUGCAAAACUUUGGGGUAAGUUUUUAGGUUUGAAAUAGUGGAUGAUUUCAUGUUUUAAUGAUACAUAUUGAAGUUUAAGUUAGUUCUAAGUAAUUCUUUGUAUUUUUAGUUGUAAAUAUAUAAUUUUCAGCUGUUACAUGCGUGUUUGGUUGCAUUUUUUUGGAUUGUUGGCUGAGGCAGAAUCAAAUUCUACAUUGCAAAAGAAUCCAGAUUCGGUUGCCAAAGUCAGGUUCAGACGCCGAACCUGCCUAUGAAGACUAUCCUCCAGAUCGCCUGAUCUCGAGCAUGUUAUGUUAUGUUAUGUAUGAUGGAUAUGGAGGUCUAGGUCGAUGCUCAUUCUAUAUCUCUGAUAUUAUGUAAGAGAAAGAUCAGAAUGUCCACUCUACACGCCUAACACUAUGGAUAUAUUAUGUUAUGUUUAAGAGGAAAUUCUGAGGAGCACCCAUUGUGAGCUGUGCACUAUUGAAAUUAUGAAGGGUUAUUGAUGACACAUUCAUAUGAUUAUAUGUUUUAUUAAACAAUUUUUUUUUAUUAUGUUUCUACUCACUAGACUCUAAUAGUUUAUCUCUUUUUCGUAAUCUCAGGUUUGUAAGAUGAGAGUUAGCUCAAGAGGUCAGCA